CCUACGGGAGGCAGCAGUGAGGAAUAUUGGUCAAUGGACGAGAGUCUGAACCAGCCAAGUAGCGUGAAGGAUGACCGCCCUAUGGGUUGUAAACUUCUUUUAUAUGGGAAUAAAAUGUUCCACGUGUGGGAUUUUGUAUGUACCAUAUGAAUAAGGAUCGGCUAACUCCGUGCCAGCAGCCGCGGUAAUACGGAGGAUCCGAGCGUUAUCCGGAUUUAUUGGGUUUAAAGGGAGCGUAGGUGGAUUGUUAAGUCAGUUGUGAAAGUUUGCGGCUCAACCGUAAAAUUGCAGUUGAAACUGGCAGUCGUGAGUACAGUAGAGGUGGGCGGAAUGCGUGGUGUAGCGGUGAAAUGCUUAGAUAUCACGAAGAACUCCGAUUGCGAAGGCAGCUCACUGGACUGCAACUGACACUGAGGCUCGAAAGUGUGGGUAUCAAACAGGAUUAGAUACCCUUGUAGUC
This 460-nucleotide ribosomal RNA is filed under the name uncultured bacterium. RNAcentral's name for it is "partial 16S ribosomal RNA". It matches the Rfam family "Bacterial small subunit ribosomal RNA", at positions 338 to 795 of the family's 1533-position model. The record is from RNAcentral.